GAUGAACGCUGGCGGCGUGCCUAAUACAUGCAAGUCGAGCGAACAGAUAAGGAGCUUGCUCCUUUGACGUUAGCGGCGGACGGGUGAGUAACACGUGGAUAACCUACCUAUAAGACUGGGAUAACUUCGGGAAACCGUAGCUAAUACCGGAUAACAUAUUGAACCGCAUGGUUCAAUAGUUAAAUGCGGCUUUGCUGUGACUUAUAGAUGGAUCCGCGCCGUAUUAGCUAGUUGGUAAGGUAACGGCUUACCAAGGCAACGAUACGUAGCCGACCUGAGAGGGUGAUCGGCCACACUGGAACUGAGACACGGCCCAGACUCCUACGGGAGGCAGCAGUAGGGAAUCUUCCGCAAUGGGCGAAAGCCUGACGGAGCACCGCCGCGUGAGUGAUGAAGGUCUUAGGAUCGUAAAACUCUGUUAUCAGGGAAGAACAAAUGUGUAAGUAACUGUGAACAUCUUGACGGUACCUGAUCAGAAAGCCACGGCUAACUCCGUG
Molecule: ribosomal RNA, 497 nt
Filed under: uncultured bacterium
Lineage: Bacteria
Description: partial 16S ribosomal RNA
Rfam family: Bacterial small subunit ribosomal RNA
Source: RNAcentral